RNAcentral lists this long non-coding RNA (404 nucleotides) under Helianthus annuus (common sunflower). RNAcentral describes it as "sRNA HanXRQr2_Chr05g0224071". Lineage: Eukaryota; Viridiplantae; Streptophyta; Magnoliopsida; Asterales; Asteraceae. The record is from RNAcentral.
AGGAUCGACGAAUCAAAUGAUAUUUCUGUUCCAAUUUUUGCCUCUUCUUUUCCCUCUGAAUCAAACUUUUUUUUGCCAUACUCGUUAAGUUCCUAUUAGUAUCCUUGAUACAAGUCGGAUCCUAGAUGUAGAAAUAUAAGAUAAGAAGGUGGAUCUCUUCUUCAUCGAAAGAAAUGAGAUUAUCGCGGAUACAAAGCAUUCAAUGAAAAAAUUAACCAAAUUUCCCUGAUGUAGAGGCAAUCAAGAAAGCUGCAUAAGUAAAUAUAUAACCUACAGAAAAGUGGGCUAAUCCAACCAAUCUUGCUUGUACAAUGGAAAGUGCCACCGGUUUAUCUCUCCAACGAAUCAAAUUGGCCAAAGGUCAUUUAACCAACCCGGCAACCAUAUGCUUCGACCCGCAUUGA